ACACGUGGACAACCUACCCUAUGGAGGGGGAUAACCCCGGGAAACUGGGGAUAAUACCCCAUAGACUAUAGAUGCUGGAAUGCUUUGUAGUUGAAAGGUCCGCCGCCAUAGGAUGGGUCUGCGGCCGAUUAGGUUGUUGUUGGGGUAACGGCCCAACAAGCCUGUAAUCGGUACGGGUUGUGGGAGCAAGAGCCCGGAGAUGGAUUCUGAGACACGAAUCCAGGCCCUACGGGGCGCAGCAGGCGCGAAAACUUUACAAUGCGGGAAACCGUGAUAAGGGAACUCCGAGUGCCCGUAAAAUCGGGCUGUCCAUCUGUUUAAAUAACAGGUGAAGAAAGGGCCGGGCAAGACCGGUGCCAGCCGCCGCGGUAAUACCGGCGGCUCGAGUGGUGGCCACUAUUACUGGGCUUAAAGCGUUCGUAGCUGGUCUGUUAAGUCUCUGGGGAAAUCUACUGGCUUAACCAAUAGGCGUCUCAGGGAUACUGGCAGACUAGGGACCGGGAGAGGUGAGAGGUACUCCAGGGGUAGGAGUGAAAUCCUGUAAUCCUUGGGGGACCACCUGUGGCGAAGGCGUCUCACCAGAACGGCUCCGACAGUGAGGGACGAAAGCUGGGGGAGCAAACCGGAUUAGAUACCCGGGUAGUCCCAGCCGUAAACGAUGCGCGUUAGGUGUAUCGGUGACCACGAGUCACCGACGUGCCGAAGAGAAAUCGUGAAACGUGCCGCCUGGAAGUA
This 735-nucleotide ribosomal RNA is filed under the name uncultured Methanomicrobiaceae archaeon. RNAcentral describes it as "bacterial SSU rRNA". It matches the Rfam family "Archaeal small subunit ribosomal RNA", at positions 96 to 837 of the family's 1478-position model. Lineage: Archaea; Methanobacteriati; Methanobacteriota; Methanomicrobia; Methanomicrobiales; Methanomicrobiaceae. The record is from RNAcentral.